GUGGGAGGGGGCUUGCUCCCGAUAGCGGUGUGUCAGUCAGCCUAUUCCAACCUGAUCCACCGCCAUCGGGAGCAAGCCCCCUCCCAC
This 87-nucleotide unclassified non-coding RNA is filed under the name Pseudomonas palleroniana. The record is from RNAcentral. Lineage: Bacteria; Pseudomonadati; Pseudomonadota; Gammaproteobacteria; Pseudomonadales; Pseudomonadaceae.